CGGAACUCAAGAAGAUGUGUAAUGUGUGUGAUAAUAUCAAAACUUAUCCAGUUGUCCACUUAAAGACUCGCAGUGCAUUGUAAGCUAGUCAUUCCUGGGUAAAGUUACUAUUUUUAUUUUUGAAAUAGGAAACCUCGGCACAUUUUUGGUUACAACUGUGAAACUGUAUGCAUGAUUAUGUGAGGGACUUGGGUAUCCAAAGCAUAGCCAUUGGGGCAUGGUAGUGUCAGUAUAUAAGGAUGAGGUUAUACCAGCUCAGGAUUCAAGGUUAGAGGAGAAGAGACAGUGGGGGUCAGGUGGCAGAACUAACUAACUGUAGCUCUGUUACACUGGCCUUAUUUGAAGAGUGGGAAGGUUUCAUUCUCCUCCCGCAGAGACCCCUGAGCCUCAGUGUUUAUUUAGACAAGGCUUCCAUGGUUUCCAUCUUCUCACAUAGGAUACCGCGCAGAAUGACCGGAGCAGGACAGUUGAAGCAAGUCAAAGGGAACCUUGAGGGUAACUACCAAACAUUCAGCAAACAUUUAGUUGGCACCUAUGAUGUCUACUUUCUCCCUUUUAUGUGUUAUGAAAUACAAAUGGCAGAAACAUAUUAAAGAUAAGUUUCAGUCUCUCAAAUUAGCUCAGAGAUAGAUCCACACGUAUAAAUAGACGCUCAUGCUUGAGAUUCAAGAGCUCUUAGAGCACAUCCUGUUAGAAAUAGAAGUGAGGAGAGGAGUCUACAGCUAACAAACUGCGCCAGGUUAGCACAUUUGGGGACAGACGUAAGUUACUCUAGGAAAUGCCCAGACAGUGGAGUAAGGAUAAUCUCUUCAACAAACAGUACUGGUAAAACUGGACAGAAGGAAAAGGGGGUGAACUGAUCAUUUUCUUUAUGGCAAUGUACAAUCUGAAGCUAAGUAUUAAAGAAUAUGCUCUGUUAACAACCCGUCUGGGAACUGCUGCGGGCACACUUGUUGAGUUGACUGGCGUCACCCUUGUGCAGUUGGCCACUCGGUGCAGCCUUGCUGGUUUGAUAGGUGAUUGGAGCUCAUGGAACAAUGCUUGGAAGUCAGAAAAGCUUCCCUUUUGCUGAGGAGAGAGAUUCUGCAUCCUGCACAGAGGAGUGUGGAUUCAGACUGAUGCUCACUCUUAUGAAGAUAAAGAGGAGGGGAUGAUGGGGCUGUCAGCAUACCAGUGCUCUUCUUCUUCUUCUUUUUUAAAGGUUUAUUUAUUUAUUUGAAAGGAAGAGUUACAGAGAGGCAGAGGCAGAGAGAGGGAGAGAGAGAGAGAGAGAGAGAGAGGUCUUCCAUCCUCUGGUCCACUCCCCAGUUGACCGCAACAGCCAUAGCUGCUCUGAUCCCAAGCCAAGAGCCAGGAAUUUCUUCUGGGUCUCCCACACAGGUGCAGGGGCCGAAGGACUUGGGCCAUCUUCUACUGCUUUCCAGGCCAUAGUAGAGAGCUAGAUGGGAAGUGGAGCAGCCAGGACUUGAACCGGCACCCUUAUGGGAUGUGGGUGCUGCAGGCA
Molecule: long non-coding RNA, 1504 nt
Filed under: Oryctolagus cuniculus (rabbit)
Lineage: Eukaryota; Metazoa; Chordata; Mammalia; Lagomorpha; Leporidae
Description: lncRNA (ENSOCUG00000037226.1)
Source: RNAcentral